GGGGGCGUGGCGGAAUGGCAGACGCAACGGACUUAAAAUCCGGUUCCUUACAAGGAGUGUGGGUUCGAGUCCCACCGCCCCUA
This 83-nucleotide transfer RNA is filed under the name Actinomycetota bacterium. Its description in RNAcentral is "tRNA-Leu". It matches the Rfam family "tRNA". From Rfam's summary of the family: Transfer RNA (tRNA) molecules are approximately 80 nucleotides in length. Their secondary structure includes four short double-helical elements and three loops (D, anti-codon, and T loops). Further hydrogen bonds mediate the characteristic L-shaped molecular structure. tRNAs have two regions of fundamental functional importance: the anti-codon, which is responsible for specific mRNA codon recognition, and the 3' end, to which the tRNAs corresponding amino acid is attached (by aminoacyl-tRNA synthetases). tRNAs cope with the degeneracy of the genetic code in two manners: having more than one tRNA (with a specific anti-codon) for a particular amino acid; and 'wobble' base-pairing, i.e. permitting non-standard base-pairing at the 3rd anti-codon position. The record is from RNAcentral. Lineage: Bacteria; Bacillati; Actinomycetota.